AUAUAAUCAACCUUCUCUUGUUUUGAGAAUGGUUUGGAUGUGGGGGGUUUGCUGGCCUCUCUCAAAAGGUUCAGCUCCCCUGAAAUGCAUUAGCAGAACAACCUUUGCUCAUUGGUGUGAUAACUAUCUACGCUUAUGAAUAUGAGGGGCAGUUCAGCUUUCUAACGGUCUUUGGACAAUUCAUCAUUA
RNAcentral lists this unclassified non-coding RNA (189 nucleotides) under Cortinarius pauperculus. Its description in RNAcentral is "partial internal transcribed spacer 2". The record is from RNAcentral. RNAcentral also lists the same sequence under 1 other name. Lineage: Eukaryota; Fungi; Basidiomycota; Agaricomycetes; Agaricales; Cortinariaceae.